CCUACGGGAGGCAGCAGUGGGGAAUAUUGGACAAUGGGGGAAACCCUGAUCCAGCGACGCCGCGUGUGUGAAGAAGGCCUGCGGGUUGUAAAGCACUUUUAGUGGGGAGGAAAACCCCUGACCUAACACGUCAGGAAUUGACUUAACCCAAAGAAAAAGCACCGGCUAACUCUGUGCCAGCAGCCGCGGUAAUACAGAGGGUGCAAGCGUUAAUCGGAAUUACUGGGCGUAAAGCGUGCGCAGGCGGUUUUGUAAGACAGAUGUGAAAUCCCCGGGCUUAACCUGGGAACUGCAUUUGUGACUGCAAGACUAGAGUGUGUCAGAGGGAGGUGGAAUUCCGCGUGUAGCAGUGAAAUGCGUAGAGAUGCGGAAGAACACCGAUGGCGAAGGCAGCCUCCUGGGAUAACACUGACGCUCAGGCACGAAAGCGUGGGGAGCAAACAGGAUUAGAUACCCUGGUAGUCCACGCCCUAAACGAUGUCAACUAGUUGUUGGGGAUUCAUUUCCUUAGUAACGUAGCUAACGCGUGAAGUUGACCGCCUGGGGAGUACGGCCGCAAGGUUAAAACUCAAAGGAAUUGACGG
Molecule: ribosomal RNA, 584 nt
Filed under: uncultured bacterium
Lineage: Bacteria
Description: bacterial SSU rRNA
Rfam family: Bacterial small subunit ribosomal RNA
Source: RNAcentral